AGGAUGAAUGCUGGCGGCGCGCCUAACGACAUGCAAGUCGAGCGGAAAGGCCCUUCGGGGUACUCGAGCGGCGGACGGCUGAGUAACGCGUGGGAACAUGCCCCAAAGUGAGGAAUAACUGCCCGAAAGGGUAGCUAAUGCCGCAUAUGAUCUUAGGAUUAAAGGAUUUAUCCGCUUUGGGAGUGGCCCGCGUACGAUUAGGUAGUUGGUGAGGUAAAGGCUCACCAAGCCCACGAUCGUUAACUGGUCUGAGAGGAUGAUCAGUCAGACUGGAACUGAGACACGGUCCAGACUCCUACGGGAGCAGCAGUGAGGAAUCUUCCACAAUGGGCGAAAGCCUGAUGGAGCGACGCCGCGUGCAGGAUGAAGGCCUUCGGGUUGUAAACUGCUUUUAUAAGUGAAGAAUAUGACGGUAACUUAUGAAUAAGCACCGGCUAACUACGCGCCAGCAGCCGC
This 456-nucleotide ribosomal RNA is filed under the name uncultured bacterium. Its description in RNAcentral is "SSU rRNA". It matches the Rfam family "Bacterial small subunit ribosomal RNA", at positions 26 to 518 of the family's 1533-position model. The record is from RNAcentral.